This 2902-nucleotide ribosomal RNA is filed under the name Escherichia coli. RNAcentral describes it as "bacterial LSU rRNA". It matches the Rfam family "Bacterial large subunit ribosomal RNA". The record is from RNAcentral. RNAcentral also lists the same sequence under 1 other name. Lineage: Bacteria; Pseudomonadati; Pseudomonadota; Gammaproteobacteria; Enterobacterales; Enterobacteriaceae.
UUAAGCGACUAAGCGUACACGGUGGAUGCCCUGGCAGUCAGAGGCGAUGAAGGACGUGCUAAUCUGCGAUAAGCGUCGGUAAGGUGAUAUGAACCGUUAUAACCGGCGAUUUCCGAAUGGGGAAACCCAGUGUGAUUCGUCACACUAUCAUUAACUGAAUCCAUAGGUUAAUGAGGCGAACCGGGGGAACUGAAACAUCUAAGUACCCCGAGGAAAAGAAAUCAACCGAGAUUCCCCCAGUAGCGGCGAGCGAACGGGGAGCAGCCCAGAGCCUGAAUCAGUGUGUGUGUUAGUGGAAGCGUCUGGAAAGGCGCGCGAUACAGGGUGACAGCCCCGUACACAAAAAUGCACAUGCUGUGAGCUCGAUGAGUAGGGCGGGACACGUGGUAUCCUGUCUGAAUAUGGGGGGACCAUCCUCCAAGGCUAAAUACUCCUGACUGACCGAUAGUGAACCAGUACCGUGAGGGAAAGGCGAAAAGAACCCCGGCGAGGGGAGUGAAAAAGAACCUGAAACCGUGUACGUACAAGCAGUGGGAGCACGCUUAGGCGUGUGACUGCGUACCUUUUGUAUAAUGGGUCAGCGACUUAUAUUCUGUAGCAAGGUUAACCGAAUAGGGGAGCCGAAGGGAAACCGAGUCUUAACUGGGCGUUAAGUUGCAGGGUAUAGACCCGAAACCCGGUGAUCUAGCCAUGGGCAGGUUGAAGGUUGGGUAACACUAACUGGAGGACCGAACCGACUAAUGUUGAAAAAUUAGCGGAUGACUUGUGGCUGGGGGUGAAAGGCCAAUCAAACCGGGAGAUAGCUGGUUCUCCCCGAAAGCUAUUUAGGUAGCGCCUCGUGAAUUCAUCUCCGGGGGUAGAGCACUGUUUCGGCAAGGGGGUCAUCCCGACUUACCAACCCGAUGCAAACUGCGAAUACCGGAGAAUGUUAUCACGGGAGACACACGGCGGGUGCUAACGUCCGUCGUGAAGAGGGAAACAACCCAGACCGCCAGCUAAGGUCCCAAAGUCAUGGUUAAGUGGGAAACGAUGUGGGAAGGCCCAGACAGCCAGGAUGUUGGCUUAGAAGCAGCCAUCAUUUAAAGAAAGCGUAAUAGCUCACUGGUCGAGUCGGCCUGCGCGGAAGAUGUAACGGGGCUAAACCAUGCACCGAAGCUGCGGCAGCGACGCUGAUGCGUUGUUGGGUAGGGGAGCGUUCUGUAAGCCUGCGAAGGUGUGCUGUGAGGCAUGCUGGAGGUAUCAGAAGUGCGAAUGCUGACAUAAGUAACGAUAAAGCGGGUGAAAAGCCCGCUCGCCGGAAGACCAAGGGUUCCUGUCCAACGUUAAUCGGGGCAGGGUGAGUCGACCCCUAAGGCGAGGCCGAAAGGCGUAGUCGAUGGGAAACAGGUUAAUAUUCCUGUACUUGGUGUUACUGCGAAGGGGGGACGGAGAAGGCUAUGUUGGCCGGGCGACGGUUGUCCCGGUUUAAGCGUGUAGGCUGGUUUUCCAGGCAAAUCCGGAAAAUCAAGGCUGAGGCGUGAUGACGAGGCACUACGGUGCUGAAGCAACAAAUGCCCUGCUUCCAGGAAAAGCCUCUAAGCAUCAGGUAACAUCAAAUCGUACCCCAAACCGACACAGGUGGUCAGGUAGAGAAUACCAAGGCGCUUGAGAGAACUCGGGUGAAGGAACUAGGCAAAAUGGUGCCGUAACUUCGGGAGAAGGCACGCUGAUAUGUAGGUGAAGUCCCUCGCGGAUGGAGCUGAAAUCAGUCGAAGAUACCAGCUGGCUGCAACUGUUUAUUAAAAACACAGCACUGUGCAAACACGAAAGUGGACGUAUACGGUGUGACGCCUGCCCGGUGCCGGAAGGUUAAUUGAUGGGGUUAGCGCAAGCGAAGCUCUUGAUCGAAGCCCCGGUAAACGGCGGCCGUAACUAUAACGGUCCUAAGGUAGCGAAAUUCCUUGUCGGGUAAGUUCCGACCUGCACGAAUGGCGUAAUGAUGGCCAGGCUGUCUCCACCCGAGACUCAGUGAAAUUGAACUCGCUGUGAAGAUGCAGUGUACCCGCGGCAAGACGGAAAGACCCCGUGAACCUUUACUAUAGCUUGACACUGAACAUUGAGCCUUGAUGUGUAGGAUAGGUGGGAGGCUUUGAAGUGUGGACGCCAGUCUGCAUGGAGCCGACCUUGAAAUACCACCCUUUAAUGUUUGAUGUUCUAACGUGGACCCGUAAUCCGGGUUGCGGACAGUGUCUGGUGGGUAGUUUGACUGGGGCGGUCUCCUCCUAAAGAGUAACGGAGGAGCACGAAGGUUGGCUAAUCCUGGUCGGACAUCAGGAGGUUAGUGCAAUGGCAUAAGCCAGCUUGACUGCGAGCGUGACGGCGCGAGCAGGUGCGAAAGCAGGUCAUAGUGAUCCGGUGGUUCUGAAUGGAAGGGCCAUCGCUCAACGGAUAAAAGGUACUCCGGGGAUAACAGGCUGAUACCGCCCAAGAGUUCAUAUCGACGGCGGUGUUUGGCACCUCGAUGUCGGCUCAUCACAUCCUGGGGCUGAAGUAGGUCCCAAGGGUAUGGCUGUUCGCCAUUUAAAGUGGUACGCGAGCUGGGUUUAGAACGUCGUGAGACAGUUCGGUCCCUAUCUGCCGUGGGCGCUGGAGAAUUGAGGGGGGCUGCUCCUAGUACGAGAGGACCGGAGUGGACGCAUCACUGGUGUUCGGGUUGUCAUGCCAAUGGCACUGCCCGGUAGCUAAAUGCGGAAGAGAUAAGUGCUGAAAGCAUCUAAGCACGAAACUUGCCCCGAGAUGAGUUCUCCCUGACUCCUUGAGAGUCCUGAAGGAACGUUGAAGACGACGACGUUGAUAGGCCGGGUGUGUAAGCGCAGCGAUGCGUUGAGCUAACCGGUACUAAUGAACCGUGAGGCUUAACCUU